RNAcentral lists this ribosomal RNA (384 nucleotides) under uncultured microorganism. RNAcentral describes it as "bacterial SSU rRNA". It matches the Rfam family "Bacterial small subunit ribosomal RNA", at positions 9 to 394 of the family's 1533-position model. The record is from RNAcentral.
GAGUUUGAUCGUGGCUCAGAUUGAACGCUGGCGGCAGGCCUAACACAUGCAAGUCGAGCGGAUGAAGGGAGCUUGCUCCUGGAUUCAGCGGCGGACGGGUGAGUAAUGCCUAGGAAUCUGCCUGGUAGUGGGGGAUAACGUCCGGAAACGGGCGCUAAUACCGGCAUACGUCCUGAGGGAGAAAGUGGGGGAUCUUCGGACCUCACGCUAUCAGAUGAGCCUAGGUCGGAUUAGCUAGUUGGUGGGGUAAAGGCCUACCAAGGCGACGAUCCGUAACUGGUCUGAGAGGAUGAUCAGUCACACUGGAACUGAGACACGGUCCAGACUCCUACGGGAGGCAGCAGUGGGGAAUAUUGGACAAUGGGCGAAAGCCUGAUCCAGCCA